ACGUGAUUUUUGGCGUGGUGAAGCGAGGCAUCGAAACAUCUUGCUGCGAUACUUUUGCUUUGAAAGGUCGAUACUGGCUGCGAGUAGACCGCUUCGACUGGAACAUCCCCGCCGUGUGUACAGGUACAGACGACGCUCACGGCAGCGGGCCCGGGCGGACGUGCGGGGCGGCGGAUGUGACAGCAGCCGCCGGACUGAGAGGAGCUCGUUUGGCACCGAAGACCCUCCUCAAGGACAGGAAGACUGCUGAGAAGUAGACUACAUCAAAUUCUGAGGAUUGGUCACAUUUUCUCUCACAUCUCAUUCUUUCUCUCUCGUCCUUGUCAGAAAUGAUUCAUCGUACACUUAGUGCAAAUGAGCACCAUAACAGGAAGAUAUUCAUUUGAUGUUGUGCAGUCAGCUUUUAAAAUGUAGAAGAGUGAAGACCUAAAUGAUCUGGACUCCAGAGAAGAGAAGGGGAGCUGUGGGA
This is a long non-coding RNA of Acanthopagrus latus (yellowfin seabream), 469 nucleotides long. RefSeq lists it as uncharacterized. The transcript is spliced from 2 exons. Lineage: Eukaryota; Metazoa; Chordata; Actinopteri; Spariformes; Sparidae. The record is from RefSeq and is a predicted model, not a curated record.